This 245-nucleotide unclassified non-coding RNA is filed under the name plant metagenome. RNAcentral's name for it is "partial contains small subunit ribosomal RNA, internal transcribed spacer 1, and 5.8S ribosomal RNA". The stretch from base 1 to 54 matches the Rfam family "Eukaryotic small subunit ribosomal RNA", at positions 1778 to 1831 of the family's 1831-position model. The record is from RNAcentral.
GCAAGUAAAAGUCGUAACAAGGUCUCCGUUGGUGAACCAGCGGAGGGAUCAUUACCGAGUUAUCAACUCCCAAACCCCUGUGAACAUACCCAACGUUGCUUCGGCGGGACCGCCCCGGCGCCCUCGGCGUCCCGGAACCAGGCGCCCGCCGGAGGACCCAAACUCUUGUUUAAACCAUAGUGGCAUAUUCUGAGUCUCACAAGAAAAAUGAAUCAAAACUUUCAACAACGGAUCUCUUGGCUCUG